RNAcentral lists this ribosomal RNA (497 nucleotides) under uncultured bacterium. Its description in RNAcentral is "partial 16S ribosomal RNA". It matches the Rfam family "Bacterial small subunit ribosomal RNA", at positions 28 to 507 of the family's 1533-position model. The record is from RNAcentral.
GAUGAACGCUGGCGGCGUGCCUAAUACAUGCAAGUCGAGCGAACAGAUGAGGAGCUUGCUCCUCUGACGUUAGCGGCGGACGGGUGAGUAACACGUGGAUAACCUACCUAUAAGACUGGGAUAACUUCGGGAAACCGGAGCUAAUACCGGAUAAUAUAUUGAACCGCAUGGUUCAAUAGUGAAAGACGGUUUUGCUGUCACUUAUAGAUGGAUCCGCGCCGCAUUAGCUAGUUGGUAAGGUAACGGCUUACCAAGGCAACGAUGCGUAGCCGACCUGAGAGGGUGAUCGGCCACACGGGAACUGAGACACGGUCCAGACUACUAAGGGAGGCAGCAGUAGGGAAUCUUACGCAAUGGGCGAAAGCCUGACGGAGCAACGCCGCGUGAGUGAUGAAGGUCUUCGGAGCGUAAAACUCUGUUAUUAGGGAAGAACAAAUGUGUAAGUAACUAUGCACGGCUUGACGGUAACUAAUCAGAAAGCCACGGCUAACUACGUG